UCCCCUUGGCAAUUGGCCAAGUAACACCUUAUUUGUGCUGUUGUUCUUACGUCAGUCAGGGCAGAGCAGAUGGCAGUCCUUAGUUCAUCCUAGCUUGAUGAGUGGUUUGGUAGCCAAAGCUAUCUUAUACCUAGGAUACAUAU
Small nucleolar RNA from Mastomys coucha (southern multimammate mouse), 143 nucleotides. RefSeq annotates it as small nucleolar RNA SNORA48. The record is from RefSeq and is a predicted model, not a curated record. Lineage: Eukaryota; Metazoa; Chordata; Mammalia; Rodentia; Muridae. The transcript has a single exon.